UACGGAGGGGGCUAGCGUUGUUCGGAAUUACUGGGCGUAAAGCGCACGUAGGCGGCUUUGUAAGUUAGAGGUGAAAGCCCGGAGCUCAACUUCGGAAUUGCCUUUAAGACUGCAUCGCUAGAAUCUUGGAGAGGCGAGUGGAAUUCCGAGUGUAGAGGUGAAAUUCGUAGAUAUUCGGAAGAACACCAGUGGCGAAGGCGACUCGCUGGACAAGUAUUGACGCUGAGGUGCGAAAGCGUGGGGAGCAAACAGG
This 253-nucleotide ribosomal RNA is filed under the name uncultured bacterium. RNAcentral's name for it is "partial 16S ribosomal RNA". It matches the Rfam family "Bacterial small subunit ribosomal RNA", at positions 524 to 776 of the family's 1533-position model. The record is from RNAcentral.